Mastomys coucha (southern multimammate mouse) is the source of this 162-nucleotide small nuclear RNA. RefSeq annotates it as U1 spliceosomal RNA. Lineage: Eukaryota; Metazoa; Chordata; Mammalia; Rodentia; Muridae. The transcript has a single exon. The record is from RefSeq and is a predicted model, not a curated record.
AAACUCGCCUUUGAGGGGAAAUAACAUGUUCACAAAGGUGGUUUUCCCAGGGCAAGGUUUGUCCAUCAAAUUCUGGGUGUGCUGACCCCUGUGAUCCCCCAAAUGUAGAAAACUAGAUGCAUAAUUUAUGGCAGUAGGGGACCAUGUUUAAGAUUCUCCCAC